UAUAUAUAUAUAUAAUAUAAUUAAACCCAGACAAUUUACUGAAGCAGAUUUGUCUUUUUUCCUACUUACUUAGCAAAUGUAAAGUCACUUUGAUGUCGGAAAACACCAUCUAAUGUGAGCCAGACAUCCCCUUUCUCAGCAGAGCAGAACUUACCUACAUCCUGUUCUCUACCAACAGAGGAGGAAUAGGUUCCACAGAACGAGGGAUUUACAGCACAGAAGCUAUAAAGGAAGGCAGAAAUGAUGUCACUUUCACGUUAAAAUCUCGGCUAAGGGAACUAAGAAAAGCAGCCUGUUUUCAGUAUUGUUUCACUCUAUUUUGGGUACUUACCUCAGGCAAUUUUUACAAAGAACUGAGCCGACCCGGUUCGAAAAAUACACUACGGAUUAUACAAAGAUAGUUAUUGGUUUUUGAGUUAUUAUUAUUUUGUCAAACUAGAACAUUUGGCUCAAAUGUUGGUUUUGAAUCGGUGCCCGGCAGGUUGUGCGAGUCAUGCUCCUUAUAAACUCAUUAGGGGGGAAAACCUACUUCGCUAACAAAUAGCUCAGCUAUAUAAAAGGAGCGAAGGGGGUCAGGAAGAAUCAUUUGAAUUUCGGGGUAGUUUGUUGGAGUGACAGGAGGUGACAAAGCGUGGGGCCUCUUGUGCAUCGUCUCCUAAAAACACUUCAGCUACAGUUCCGUGACCUGUUUAAAGAGAAGUGCAUUAAACAACCCAGGUUGCCAAACACUCAUCCCAUUUACUUCAGUCAGCUGCAUUUACCUCCCGACUGGCGCGCGGGCAGACGUGUUUGUUUGAAGUGAAUGCCACAGCCGGCUGAGUAAAUGCAGCCAAUCGUGCAGGGUGAGUAAUCGGAUGAGGAAAAGUGGUCGGAAGUUAAAACUGCACGGUAAUUCCAGAAAACCUUUCUGCGUCCAAAUCCACCGCCUCACACAAACUUUAUAUGCUCCUUAACAGCCUAAGUAGCCCUUUGUGCAUGACCUCACACGCCGGGUACUUAAAUUCAGUAGGCAGUGGUAAGAGUCAAUGUAGGAUUAAUAUAGGAGCUUGUUUGCCGUGUAGAGACACACUUUAAUAUUGAAUUGAAUGAGAAAAUGUGUCCAGUACUUUUGACUGGUACUGUAUACUAAUGCAGCUCUGCACUGCUCUCGUCCGAUGGUUACAGUUGAGCCCGCUUUGUUCCUGAAGCGCGGUUCCUCCUCCGGUUGGCGUCGUCAGCACAUUUGGCCACGAGCUGUCAGUUCAGGUGUCAGAGAGGCAAUUAAAAUGCUCCAAAUCUUGUUUGCUGCACCGUCACGGGGAGUUCAAUUGAAUAUUUAGGAAUACUUCAGAGCCAAAAUGAUGUAUUAGCAUGUCACUGUAUCACCUUGAAUUACUUCAACCCAUCAAGAGUUUUUCCAUCUGUCAGCAUGGAGGCGUUCUGUCAUUGUUGCCGACAGAAAAUCUCCAAUGCAGCAGCGUCCUCAGCAGAGGGGUAAACUGCGACAAAGAGGGUAAGGUUACCUUCUCAGAAGCCUUCCGUGUCCCUUGCUUUCCGAGUAGUACUCUAUGUGUCCCUCCUCCAGUGGUAGAGGAACAAACAAACAACAUGUUCUAGUCUAAUAAAAAAACAUGCAAAUAAAGUCAAUGAGUUCUUGGCUCAGGAGACAAGGCCAGGCCAUCAAACACAUUGAGACUACAACAUAGAAGCCAUCAUCAAAGUGGCGCAUUCAAAGGGUUCAGAACGCAGUCUUUUAACAAGAGAAGCGCUUUCCAGGAAACCUGUGAAAUUACUUCUGACUAAUAACUGCAAGAAGAUCCCUGCAGUGAGUCCUCAAGGAGUUCUGACUGGAGCAAAGUCCAUUUAUAAGUCCAUCGUUCACACACACAUGCUGCACAUGCAGUACAUUUCCAAGUCCGCCUACAAUUAUGACUUCUAUUAGUUCUCUCCAGUGUCGUGCUAACGCGCCCUCACUGCCCCCCACACACACACACACACAUCCAUCAGCUCACUAAGCCCUCUGUGCAGUGUCUCUAGAGAACCUACUGUGUGGCAGCAGUCAGCGGUAAGGUUUCCUAAACACAGACACACUUGGGGUGACAGAUUCCCACUUUACGCUUUCUCUCCUUUCUUGACGUAUCCAGACACAUGUGGCUAAUCACCGCGAACGGACGGAGGGAGGGAGGGGUCGUGCGGCUACAGCGUGAAAAACGCAUAGAUUACGUCCGGGAGCUAAGAAAGAGAGGGCCACUUCUACAGGCUAUCUCCCUCCCGCCCUCCUCGUCACGUCUUACAAGCCGAAGCAGCUGCCCCACGCGCACAAAACGUUCAAAUCCACCCUGGACAGGUAGUGCCACAUGUGCGGAAUUAAAAGCCUCUCGAGUGCGCCGGUUCUCGGGUUACCAGCUGCACGCGACAGCUGCCUGAAAAGGGAUCUGGUUUCUGGUGGUUUUUGUACAGUUGGUGAGAGAUGUGCAGCAAAAAGCAGGGAUUGUUAACCCCCCCCCCCUCCUAGUGGGUAAAGGACAGUUUGACUGUCAGGGACAGGAGGAGCAUUGUCUUACCUCCAUGAACUCAAAAUGAAUGUGGUACUGAAAAAUGUUUUGCAUGGGCUGCUAUCAAGAGUUUUAUAGAUGUCACAUAUGCGUUUUGCACAUCUUUUUUGCCAGACUUUCAAAAUCUGCCAUGGUUUAUGAAUGCAGACUGUAGGUGAGUGGAUUCCGACAACACUGCCGAGCACACAGCGCAAUCUGCUCACGUGCACAAGACAGGCCCAGCGUUUGUACGGACUGUGAGUCCCCGCCCUGAGACGCGUGGAGAAUAGGCUCUUGUCUGAGGAUACGCUGCUGGUCGUGAGAUAAUGUCUGAUUCACGUGGGGGGAGGGGGGGGGGGUGAAGGGGGGGUGACGGGCCGUGAGCGUCGGCCGUGAGGAGAACUGAUGCGUCCUGUCUCCGUCUCCGCUGUGCCGUCCUACCUAUCUCUGAAGAGAGACCUAUCUGUCCGCCCCGUAUCGCCGGGUUCGCUGUUACGGUGGAUUACAGAUAAUGCAGCCAAAAGAAGGUGAUGUCAUGUUUCCCGUUAUGAAUAGGACAUUAUUCUCAGAGGGGUUGAUUAUUGUUGAGGGGAAGAGCGAUGCUUGUGUGUGUGCACACGUAGGGUUUUGUAUCAAAUGAAAACAAAGAUCUGAGGAUGCCCAACAUGCGCAAGGGAAAUUCUUAGUGUGAAUGGAAUUUGGAAUUUUCACUUCCUUUCACUUUAAAGACGUCUUUCUAUCACGUGUGCAAGUGACUAGAAUGUGAACCCCUCGACACUCUCACACUGAGAAAACGCUCAGGGAGCGUGAAGAUGUGGUAAAAAAAAAAAAAAUCAACACAAACAGGAAGGUAUGUGAGGCGAUGGGGGGCGGACUUUGUUUGUCCCAAAAUAUAUAUUGCGUUUUCUGUACUGCAGCUUGCGUGCGUCGGGUUAACCAGUCCGUUAGAAAGUGACACCAAUGCAUGUAUGGAUUAAGAAAGUUGGUCAUGGAACGGUAAUGCCAGCUCCUGUUGGUAUCACUCGUAGGUGACCAGGAGGGGAAAUUAGCAAUGGCUCAAAUGUCCCUUGGUAAAGAUGCUAAAUGGAUAAAUUACACACAUAUAUAAAAUAAAUGUGAGCAUUUUAUCUGUUGUUCCUUUGUGCCGCUCAUUCAAAUCGCUUCACACUCACCACCACAAAAGAAGAAAAGAAUGACAUUGUGUUUUAAACAGUGCUCCGUUCAUUCUGCUACGUUAUUAUAGAGGCUCUUGUUUAACUUGUUUCGCGCUCUUUAAUGAUGCACAGAUUUGCUCCUCGCAGGUGAAUGCGAUUUAGCUAAGAUAAGAAACUCCUCCAGCAGGUCUGAUGGCCACAAAGCACAAAGAGUACGUGUUUUCUUGUUGCCUGUCCACAGUAUACUAUUUGACAGCGUGAUCAGGGUUGUGUAACUAUGUGGGAGCACGGGAACACACCAUGCUGUUUGUUUGGCAGGGCUACUCUGUCCCGCUGCCGCCUCCGACUCCCCAGACUACCACAUGUGCAGACAAACCCCCUGCAGAAGCACGUCAGCUGCUCAGAGAAUUAGCUAUUUGUUAUUAAUUCUGUUUAGUAUGGCCAAAUCGUCCCAGUGUCUGACCAUAUGGAUUAAUGCAUGACCACAGGCGUUGAUAUUUGGUGCCUAAAGGUUCACACACACAUUUAUUCACAGUGAAUUUGUUGUCACGGCCUUUUUCCGGCAGUGCAUGAAGAAAGUUAUACUUUAAAUUUAUAAAGGAUUUUUAAUGUCCCAUAAAACACAGGUUUUACAGGACACACAAUGACGUGGGGUGAUUGUGGGCUUUUUAAUGUAGAAAUAAUUACAAGCGUUUUCUUUACAAAUGGAUAAUACAGAAUAUAACACAAUCCCUUCUUCCCGAUUAAAUCCUCCUUUUAUUUUAUCGGCAGCUAAUACAUAUUUUGUUUUACUAUAUUGAUGUCUUUGUACUGUAGAAUUAAUUGUUAAUUCUGCUGCCAAACAUGUGACAUUUUUCCCCAUAUAGCCUUUUAAAAAGAGACUUCAUUUUUUUGCUUGUUACACUUAUCAGACAGUUGUUUUAUGUGCUUAUUCGCUGGGUUGUUGUUCGAUUGUGUGCAACAUUUUCUUCAGCACUACGCCCAGAUACAGAAUGUGGGUCAAAACAAUCCGUUUCCAGGUAAAUAGUUGCUGCAAAUCCAGGCCAGCAAUUUGUCUUCGCCCUGCAAUGAGGACAGAGAAACCACAAAGACAUGAGCGGCCCCACGGGGGACCUGACCGCGAUGUGUUUUCUUUACAGCUGUCAAAUGCCACAGCAACGAUGGCUCAAACAGAACAAAGAUCACACAAAAAUCAUAGAAAUGAACAUUUAAAAUCAUUUCACGGUGACAUUCCCAAACAAGCAUGCCUCUGAUUUGAAUGAGUGCAUUUGUUUAUUCGGUGGUUUGUCGUUCAUGAAUCCUCUACUGAACAAAAAGAAAACAUAUCCCUAAACGAUGGAACGUCUGUUGCAAGUGAAAUCGGAUUCUUAACGUGACGUUGCAGGGCCAUAUGGACUUGCCACAUAAUUCACUCUCAUUACCCAAUUUUAUUGUUCGUGUUCUCUUGGGUUUCUCCAGGCACAGGGAGAAGGGAAGUAGGAACUGAAGAGUGUGGAAAUAUUAGAGCUAAUUUAAUUAAGAGGCUGGCAAAGGCAAUAUUGUUUCAAACCAAACACAUUUGUGAACGAGGUCUGUUAACAUCGAGAUCCGAAGGGAGCAAACUGGAACAUGUUGCAGGUACAUGUGAAAUUCCGCUGAGCCAACUGGGCCUGAAAUACUGUGUCUAUUUCUAAACACUUUGGCUGUGAAUACAUUUUUUUGCUAUUGCCUUGGGUUCUUCAUCGGAGGGAAACAAAAUGUGUUAAAUAGAAGAAUUAGGAACUUUGGUUUGAUGUUUUGUACAUAGCAGAUUUAUAAUCCUUUUUCCUCACUCGCUUUCACCACCAACUGUAAAAUUACAUUUCACCAUGUCUGUGGCCAUGCAUGUGACCACGAUGUGGAUAAUGAAACGAAUAACACUGUUGCAACUUGACAUACAUUCGCCCUGAAUGUACAGACAAAGUAUUGAUGAGUUUCUCCUCCUCCAUAAAACGUUUCAAUCUACACACCACAUCUUCUAUUAUACAUUUCAAACACCACAGAACUGGUUGCAAACUUGUUCUACCUGUUCCACCACUUACACCCCCAGCCCCCCCCCCCACCCUCCCCCCACCCUCAUAAACCUCCCAUUGCCCGCUUUGUUGAGACCACUGCCCACUUCGUGCUGCCUCAUCUCGCUGUCGUACCACUCCACCACAGGACAGCUCAGCCUGUCAGCAUUGCGACGGUCAAACCCAGAAGCACCUGAGCAGCUCGUCCUGUGGUCCCGCAAGACGAACUGGAUCACAUAUUGCUGCCCUUUCUUAUGAGAAACUAAAGGUCUGUCGACUAGGUUGAGUAUAAAAGAGGUGGAGGAGGAAGAGGAGAGGGGAGAGUUGGCAUGGUUGUGAAAACCUUGAGAGCAAACAAACUCUGCAUGUGAGGGGGAGGAUAUUAUUGCUCAGUCUCUGGGUGGGUGGUGGGGGGGGGGGGAUUCACUCUGACCCCCUGCAGACAUUAAACUGCGAACGAGGCCCGCUGGUCGCUGUGGACUCGGUCCAGACAGCCUUGUAACGGGACCAGUUCUCUGACGUAGAGAGAGCCGCAGCGGGGCGGCCGAGCUGCGCUAAUGAAGACCUUCCCCAGCUGAUUAUCCUGAGGACACAGCCAGUCUCUCUGUGGGGCCCACACAGGGACACACACACACACAAACGGUCAUUGAGGCAUCACUGGAAGACAUGCAAAAAAACAUAUACAAGCACACACACAGUGGGAGGGAAGGGGGGGGGGGGUGUCCUUCUACAGAUGUGUUUGAUGUUCCCUGUUGCCUUUUGUUGCAUCAGCACAAGGCAGUCUUUGUGCGCCUGAUGCUGCUGCUGAGGCUGCACGGUACCAGGGAAAUAGUCCAGGACCCUAGAAGCAGCAGUGUUUCUGACCAAUGGGGGGAGGGGGAGGGGGGAUGGGGGGGCGUGUGGGCGAUGUAAUCUGGGUCACACGAGGAGAACUCUGACUCCAGGAGGCCGCCACCGAUUCUGUCACCUACUGCUUUCUUCAGAGCAGAACAGGCUGCCUGUGAUCACACCUGCCGCUGAGCAUGUGGGUGCUCAUCUUUCAAAUAUGCUUUACACCGUGAGAUGUGCGUUGCCUUAAAAAAGAUUUCUUUAUCUGGAGCAUUUUAAGUAUCUUAUGACUUUUUUUUUACCCUCAAUCAGGACUUCAUGCUCUUAAAAUGAUCCUUAUUUUCCCCACAUUGAUUCUAGAAGUUCUAGAUUUCCUCGGUGGGGCAUAACCUGAUCCACUCAUUAAAAAUCGAUCUCAAAUGAAGACAAUUCUAUUUAAUACACCUUAGAGGGUUACAACCUACAUGUCUUUAAAAAAGGUCAAAUAACUUGACGUAUUUGAAGGAUAAAAUGAAGAACAACUCUCCUUUGGAAAGUUGAACCUUUAGACAAACAUUAAAGGAAUAGUUUAAACGUAUGGGAGGUCUUGAUGCUGGAGGAAGCUUAGUAGUUACAGAUAUUAGUUUUUGUGUUGCCAUGGCAACAUGAACAAAACCGCAAAAAGAAAAAGUUUGUAUCGUAGUUCACGUUAUUCACAAUUAUUGUAAUGUUAUUCGUUUUUGGCUCCAACAAGAACAUGAUCUGAUUACGUAAUAAUUUCAUCGAUGAUUAAUGGAAGAUACCUAAUAAUAUUUUUAGAGCAUCAUGCGUUUUACAGUUGCCACCUACUAUGUCUCAAACAAACCAUUGUGUAAACAUCAGUUAUUAUUGUCGUUAUUUUUUUUUUUUAAACACACUAGACUAAGUGAUAAUCCUCCUGCAUAGUCAAACAAUCCUUUAAAUGAAUUCACAGUGUGGACGUCAACAACACAACAGCCACAUCAAGGGCCGCAUGUUAGAAUACACUACAUCCCUGAAAACAAAAACAGAGCAAUGCAUCCAGAUACACAUGUUUACAUAUUGACACACAGGCAAUCUCAGAGGAUCAGCGCGCUCUGAAAUCCCCCUGGGAUGUUUUUCACAGCAAGAGCCAGCAGCUCAGCCCCCCCCGAGGAUUUAGACACGUUGGUGUGUGUGUGUGUGUGUGUGUGUGUGUGUGUGUGUGUUUACGUAUGUGUGUUCGGAAAAGACAGCGAGGUGUGCAUUUGGAAGGGGAUGGUUUUAAUUUGCAUAAAUGUGACCGAUGAGAUCAAGAUUAUUUACAGGAUUUGUCAAUCCUAUGAAGGGAGUCUAUUUCCCCACUAACUCAACUAACUACUAACUCACAACGUUCAAGGCCCCCUUAAAAACAUUUCACCUUCUCCCGGUUUCCUCUCUCCGUGAUCCUCCAUUACGCGGCAGUUAUCUUUUACAAUUUAUCGACUUUCUUUCUCAACUUUUUUUUCUUUUUCUGCUUUCUUCUUUUUCUUUCUCAUCCCUAUCGCUGUGGCCACGUCCUUUAACCAGGAAUAUGGUAGUAAUAUCGAGUAAAAGGAAUUAAAGCAUUUGCUAAUCUGACACUGAGGGAUUACCAUCGCUGUUCUUUGAGGGGGAGAACAAUUUAUAGACAAACAUAUGGAAACAACAGAUCACAUCAUGGUAAACAUCCAAAUUUGACUCAGAAGAACGCAGAAUAUAUCUUUAUUUGCAUUCAAUUAUAACAUUCAGGAAAGUGGGGAAUCCCGUCUUUGCAUUAGAGAAAUAGUUUCAGCCUCCGGAUUUUCUUCUGUCCUCCUCAAUCGGCCGGUUUGGUGAGGAGGUUGGGUUGUAAUACCAGCUGAACUAAGUCAUUGUUUUUUAUGAGUUGUAAUCUCCUGCCGAACCAAAGAGGAAGAGAUAAUGAAUGUAUGGAGAUCAACACAUGCUGGAGCUUAAAGAUAACGAUGCCGACAAACAAGGCAAGUGAGCCUGAUGUCCCUGAUUGGUCUCUCCGUGUUGCGGGGAAGGAUGGAAGAAUGUAGACUAUCCAGUGGAGGAGCGACAAAAAAAAACUACUGUAGUGGAAGAAGUAUCAAUAUUGUGCAACAUAAGUUACUCAAACAUAUCAGUAACAUCAAAUACUCUAGUACCG
Long non-coding RNA from Gasterosteus aculeatus aculeatus (three-spined stickleback), 8674 nucleotides. The record is from Ensembl. Lineage: Eukaryota; Metazoa; Chordata; Actinopteri; Perciformes; Gasterosteidae.